UACAGAGGGUGCGAGCGUUAAUCGGAAUUACUGGGCGUAAAGCGUGCGUAGGCGGUUGGUUAAGUCUGCUGUGAAAGCCCUGGGCUCAACCUGGGAACUGCAGUGGAUACUGGCCAGCUAGAGUGUGAUAGAGGAUGGUGGAAUUCCCGGUGUAGCGGUGAAAUGCGUAGAGAUCGGGAGGAACACCAGUGGCGAAGGCGGCCAUCUGGAUCAACACUGACGCUGAGGCACGAAAGCGUGGGGAGCAAACAGG
Molecule: ribosomal RNA, 253 nt
Filed under: uncultured bacterium
Lineage: Bacteria
Description: partial 16S ribosomal RNA
Rfam family: Bacterial small subunit ribosomal RNA
Source: RNAcentral